This 258-nucleotide ribosomal RNA is filed under the name uncultured bacterium. RNAcentral's name for it is "partial 16S ribosomal RNA". It matches the Rfam family "Bacterial small subunit ribosomal RNA", at positions 96 to 354 of the family's 1533-position model. The record is from RNAcentral.
UGGCGGACGGGUGAGUAACGCGUGGGUAACCUGCCUUGCACUGGGGGAUAACACUUAGAAAUAGGUGCUAAUACCGCAUAAGCGCACGGUCCUGCAUGGGACAGUGUGAAAAACUCCGGUGGUGCAAGAUGGACCCGCGUCUGAUUAGCUGGUUGGCGGGGUAAAGGCCCACCAAGGCGACGAUCAGUAGCCGGCCUGAGAGGGUGGACGGCCACAUUGGGACUGAGGCACGGCCCAAACUCCUACGGAAGGCAGCAG